Molecule: long non-coding RNA, 1759 nt
Filed under: Coturnix japonica (Japanese quail)
Lineage: Eukaryota; Metazoa; Chordata; Aves; Galliformes; Phasianidae
Description: lncRNA (ENSCJPG00005001413.1)
Source: RNAcentral
UAUGGGGCAGCUAUGGGGCAGGGUUAUAGGGCAGCUAUGGGGCAGAUGUGGGGUAUCUAUGGGGUAUCUAUGGGGCAGAUAUGGGGCAGCUAUGGGGCAGCUAUGGGGUGUCUAUGGGUCACUAUGGGUCUCUAUGGGCCUCUAUAGGGCAGCUAUGGGUCUCUAUAGGGUCUCUAUAAGGCAGCUAUGGGUCACUAUAGGGCUCUAUGGGUCUCUAUGGGGCAACUAUGGGUCACUAUAGGGCUCUAUGGGUCUCUAUGGGGCAGCUAUGGGUCACUAUAGGGCUCUAUGGGCCUCUAUGGGGCAGCUAUGGGUCUCUAUGGGUCACUAUGGGUCUCUAUGGGGCAACUAUGGGUCACUAUAGGGCUCUAUGGGUCUCUAUGGGGCAGCUAUGGGUCACUAUAGGGCUCUAUGGGGCUCUAUGGGGUGUCUAUGGGGCUCUAUGGGGUGUCUAUGGGGCUCUAUGGGUGUCUAUGGGGCUCUAUGGGGUGUCUAUGGGGCUCUAUGGGGUCUCUAUGGGGUGUCUAUGGGGCUCUAUGGGAGGCAGGGGGGCAAUAUGGGGUGUCUAUGGGGCUCUAUGGGGCUCUAUGGGGAUCUAUGGGGCUCUAUGGGGUGUCUAUGGGGCUCUAUGGGGUGUCUAUGGGGCUCUAUAGGGUGUCUAUGGGGCUCUAUGGGGUGUCUAUGGGGCUCUAUGGAGUCUCUAUAGGGUCUAUGGGGUGUCUAUGGGGAUCUAUGGGUGUCUAUGGGGUUCUAUGGGGCUCUAUGGGGUCUCUAUGGGGCUCUAUGGGGUGUCUAUGGGGCUCUAUGGGUGUCUAUGGGGCUCUAUGGGGUGUCUAUGGGGCUCUAUGGGUGUCUAUGGGGGCUCUAUGGGGUGUCUAUGGGGUUUAUGGGACUCUAGUAGGGCUUCGGUAGGGCUCGUAUGGGGUACUAUGGGAUUCUUUGGGGCCUCUAUGGGCUCUAUGGAGUUCUAUGGGGCAUAUGGGGCUCUAUGGGGUGUCUAUGGGGUUCUAUGGGACUCUAUAGGGCUCGGUAGGGCUCUAUGGGGUAUCUAUGGGAUUCUUUGGGGCUCUAUGGGGUCUCUAUGGGGCUCUAUGGAGUUCUCCGGGGCUCUUAAUGGGGCAUAUGGGUCUCUAUGGGGGUGUCUAGGGGUUUCUAUGGGACUCUAUACGGGCUCGGUAAGGGAUCUAUGGGGUAAUCUAUGGUGAUUCUUUGGGGCUCUUAUGGGGUCUCUUUGGCUCUAUGGGCCUCUAUGGGGUCUCUAGGGCUUUAUAGGUCUCUAUGGGGUUCUCGUAUGGGGUUGCUAUGGACGCUUUAUGUCGGGCUCUAUGUGGGCCGUCUAUGGGGUGUGUUCUGGGGUUCUAUGGGGGCUCAUGGGUGUCUAUGGGGGGCUCUAUGCGGGUGUCUAUGGGGCUCUAUGGGGUGUCUAUGGGGCUCUGUGGGUCACUAUAGGCUCUAUGGGCAAUAUGGGGUCUCUAUAGGGCUAUGGGGGCUCUAUGGGGUGUCUAUGGGCUCUAAUGGGAUCUCUCUGGGGCGCGGAAUGGACGGAUGUUCGUUGCAACAGAAGGGCGGCCGUCAACCAGUGCCUGCGCACCUUACAGUGGGUCAAUAAUUGAGGUUAUGGGGUUCUAUGGGGCUCUAUGGGACAAUAUGGGGUCUCUAUGCGGCUCUAUAGGGUCUCUAUGGGGGCAGGGGGGCAAUAUGGGGCUCUAUGGGACAAUAUGAGAUCUCUAUGAGGCUCUAUGGCAUCUCUAUGGGGGCA